CCUACGGGGGGCUGCAGUCGAGAAUCUUUCGCAAUGGGCGCAAGCCUGACGAAGCGACGCCGUGUGAGCGAAGAAGGCCUUCGGGUUGUAAAGCUCUUUCGCUAGGGAACAAGAGAGGGGUGCUAACAACAUCCUGAUUUGAGGGUACUUGGUAAAGAAGCACCGGCUAACUCCGUGCCAGCAGCUGCGGUAAUACGGAGGGUGCAAGCAUUGAUCAAAGUGACCGGGCGUGGCUGGCGCGUUCGCGGCUGAAAUUCCACGGCUCAACCGUGGAGCUGCAUGUGAAACUGUUCGGCUAGAGCGUAGUUAGGGAAAACGGAAUUCCACAUGUAGCGGUGAAAUGCGUAGAUAUGUGGAGGAACACCGGUGGUGAAGACGGUUUUCUGGGCUAUAGCUGACGCUGAGGCGCGAAAGCUAGGGGAGCAAACAGGAUUAGAUACCCCGGUAGUC
RNAcentral lists this ribosomal RNA (450 nucleotides) under uncultured bacterium. RNAcentral describes it as "partial 16S ribosomal RNA". It matches the Rfam family "Bacterial small subunit ribosomal RNA", at positions 338 to 795 of the family's 1533-position model. The record is from RNAcentral.